This is a long non-coding RNA of Artibeus jamaicensis (Jamaican fruit-eating bat), 823 nucleotides long. RefSeq lists it as uncharacterized. The transcript has 3 exons. The record is from RefSeq and is a predicted model, not a curated record. Lineage: Eukaryota; Metazoa; Chordata; Mammalia; Chiroptera; Phyllostomidae.
GCAGUACACACGAGGGCUGCUUGUGUGGGUGCCCCUGGCUCGCUGGAGGCAUCCUCCGUGGCAACUCCGAGUUAUUUUCAUUUUGCCUGUGUUUUCGAUGCCCAGGCCACGUCAGCCUAAAAUAAAUGCCACUGGACGAUAACAGUAACUUCAUCUCUGAUGCCCUGCUUAGCAGAUACCUGGGAGGCUUGUCAGCACAAUCAUCAUUCAAGCAAGCUGGAGGCGUGGAACAACCCUCAAUCCACAAUUUGGAAUAAAGAUUUUAGAAAACACGCAGCAACAAUACUGGCAGGAAUAGCUGUCUGAAGCACUGAAGAACUGGUCUGCCCUGGAUGCACAGUCAGGGAGUAAAAAAGAAGGAACGGCAAGUUUUAAACUGAGCUAGAUAAGAAUCCCUACGAAGGUAGGGAAUGCCUUUCCUGAAUAUAUCUUUGUACCACCUGGGUCACUCAGCGUCUAGCACGCUGUUCAGAAAGGCGGAUGCUGAAGAGGAAUCACAAUCUGAAGAGAUGGCAGGAUUGCAGAGAUGGUCCAGACAUCACGAGAAAAGAAGUUACUCUGCCUCCUGCUGGCCACAAGCAGAAGGGCCUGAGCUCCUUUUAGCUUAUUACUAGAGGUCACACGCCUCCUUCACAGACAGAACUUGUGAAGGAAUGCAAGACUGAAAGGGAAAAGAAGAGCGGGCUUCCUUUUUUUGAUUAGCCCAAACUAAGCUUUAGGUGUAAAUAAAUCAUUUAGAUCAAAUACCCUCAAACUCUUCAUUUUGCGAGCCUAAACCUGAGGUGGAGGCAUCCACGUUAGCUACAGGAACAAGGGGAGGGGC